Molecule: long non-coding RNA, 978 nt
Filed under: Anas platyrhynchos platyrhynchos (common mallard)
Lineage: Eukaryota; Metazoa; Chordata; Aves; Anseriformes; Anatidae
Description: lncRNA (ENSAPLG00000026858.1)
Source: RNAcentral
UUGGAGCUCUGUGGGUGAGGAACUGAGUAUCACUUCUGCUAAAAUUCAUAGAUUUUAUUGGGAAUCAGGUGAUGGCAGGACAGAGAUUCCUGAAGAACCUCCCUUUGAAGGGAAAGGUGACCUCUUUUCAGCAACAUAUUAGUGGGUGUUGUGUGGACAGCUGCUGUGACUGCAAGACACUGAUUGAACCAAAGCUGAGCCUGUGAUACUGCCAGGAGCAAUGCUAAGAAAUACAAGAACAUACACUUGCCAGCUUCAACAGGUAAAUUAAGUAUGCACCAGAGAUGGUGUGUUUACUUAAUGUGAAAUAAUGCUCUAUUUCAUAUUCAUCCUUAAUGCCCUCUCUUAAACAAUUCUAAUGUAUUUUUUACACGUAACAUUCCUGUCUGGAAUACUUUUCAGCUUAUUUUCUUCAAUUCUUCUCUAAGGGAGCAAAGAUUUGCAUAACAUUAGGUCAAAAGCCCAUUGAGGAUAUAUUACAAGUAAAUUUUGUAAAACAGAUUCAUUCUCUGGCUGUGAAGAGGAAGCACUGGGCUCGGAGCACGGUGUUACAAAGGCACCAAAAGCCAGAAAAUACCCAGAGCUUCUGCUUGCUGCCAACAGUGCCCAGAAGAAAAUAGGAAGGCACUGAAUAGUUAAUGGAUCUAUCACUGUGGUACAUAAAGCAGACAUUGCUGGGGUAAUAUGAUGUCUCCCCAGAAGAAUGAUAAGGUGGUUACCAAAAAGUGAUUGUGAUUCAUAAGCUCAUAGAAGGGGCAGGGCUGGUGCUGACUGUAACAGCGUGGCAGAGUCACCUUUAAUGCAGUAGCUGUAAACCUACUAUUCAGUAGUGGAACAUGCCUUGUUAUGCUCAAUUCCCGCCUCUCAGCGUGGAUAAAAAAUUCUAUCUGGGAUAAUUUUUAACUUUUAAAUAGUGAGUAAUAUACAUUUUCUUGGAAUUCCACCUUUCAGCAAAAGAACAAUAACUUUAACUUUUUA